AGAUGAUUGCUAAUAAGGAAUCGUCAGAUUCAAAAACAGACGCGCCGGCGGCAAGUUUCAGUGGCGGGAACGGAGAUUUGGAUAAAGAUGCGGGCUCGGAAAAUGGUCGAACAGGUGGUGGGCAUGAAAAAGUCAAUGAGAUUGCUAAGGAAUUGUCAGAUUCAGGAACAGAAUUGGUUGCUAAGGAUGAGCUGGUGAAGAAUUCUUGCCAGGUGGCUGGGAGUUUCAGUGAUUUGGAUGCAGGAGUCAGCUCGGCAAAUGGUCGAACAGGUGGUGGGCAUGAAAAAACCGAUGCAUUUGAUGAAAGUGGGGAAUCUGACGAGUUUAAGGCGGCCAAGGCUUCGAAAUCGGGAUCGUAUGUGAUUGAGAUGAACUGGGAUGGCGGGGAGAAAGUUUGCAGGAUCUGUCAUUUGAGCUCUGAAGGGUCGAUGGAGGUAGUGGCGGCUGCUCCUGGUGUGGUAGUGACAU
Molecule: long non-coding RNA, 468 nt
Filed under: Linum usitatissimum (flax)
Lineage: Eukaryota; Viridiplantae; Streptophyta; Magnoliopsida; Malpighiales; Linaceae
Description: long non-coding RNA (LUSI_LNC001659)
Source: RNAcentral